AUUCAGACGAUGAGUCUCAAAUAGGACGAAACACGCGUCCUGGGU
RNAcentral lists this non-coding RNA (45 nucleotides) under Schistosoma margrebowiei. Lineage: Eukaryota; Metazoa; Platyhelminthes; Trematoda; Strigeidida; Schistosomatidae. The record is from RNAcentral.